Molecule: ribosomal RNA, 253 nt
Filed under: uncultured bacterium
Lineage: Bacteria
Description: partial 16S ribosomal RNA
Rfam family: Bacterial small subunit ribosomal RNA
Source: RNAcentral
UACGGAGGGGGCUAGCGUUGUUCGGAAUUACUGGGCGUAAAGCGCACGUAGGCGGCUUUGUAAGUUAGAGGUGAAAGCCCACGGCUCAACCGUGGAGGGUCAUUGGAAACUGGGGGACUUGAGUGCAGGAGAGAAGAGUGGAAUUCCACGUGUAGCGGUGAAAUGCGUAGAGAUGUGGAGGAACACCAGUGGCGAAGGCGGCUCACUGGACCGGAACUGACGCUGAGGCGCGAAAGCGUGGGGAGCAAACGGG